RNA transcript from Daphnia pulicaria, 4974 nucleotides. It is a transcript of the gene named gastric triacylglycerol lipase-like, with no coding region annotated. The transcript has 23 exons. The record is from RefSeq and is a predicted model, not a curated record. NCBI's taxonomy places the organism in Eukaryota, Metazoa, Arthropoda, Branchiopoda, Diplostraca, Daphniidae.
AGAAAAAAAAAUCCAUAAUGGCCGCUCGCCCGCCAUUUCUCUGCUUUAUUUCAUUAUUCAUUAUUGUUCGUUAGAGUUAGAGUAGACUAUCCAGUAUCCUUCAGUUUUCAAGUGUCUCUGCUCUAAUGAGCUCGUGUUAUUGGGGCACGAACCUUGUUAAAUGUGCAAUGAUUUCGUCAUUUCGUGUUGAACCAUGUUAACCUACAAUGUGUAUUUUCUUUCAUGAAAUUUGAAACCUGUUGCUGUUCGUGCAAUAGCAGAUUCAUCAAUUUUGGAAAACAAGAAAAGCCACCUGAUCAGAGAGGAGAAUUUCAGUAAUUCGUGGUAUUAAUGACUUGCAGUUCACUGAGAGAAACUGGAAAGGCGAAGCAAUCGGAGUGCCAAUAUCGUGAGGGUUUGGUAAACCGCCAGUUGCCGUUUCGGAAUCAUCACCGGAUGUUGUCAGUCAUGAAUACUUUUUGGGCGUGUUGGCAUAGUGCUCCAGUUCUCCAAGGUCUCACAUUGUUUUCUCAAAGGUGGAACGCGACAGAUGGCAACGUCCACCAUGUUUCAUUUGUAUUCCUAUAGCCGUGACACACUGACAUGCCAGGAAGAGCAAUUUUUGUCAAACAUGCGCGAUGGCCAGUUGCCUUAUUCAUUGACUUCCUUCGUUUAUUUCCAGCUGAACGUAAAGUGCCGAGUUUCUACCAAGUCCUCAACCGUCCUUCCUACUAUUUUAAUCAACACAGAAUACGAUUUAUUCUUCUUCUAUAAUAUUGCUGGAUGAUUCCUCGAUGCUGCUGUCAUUUGCCGAUUCAUCUUUAAUAGUUAACGGAAAGUGGUUCGUGAUCCUGGUUUGACCUGCUGAAGGCACUCGGAUAAAUAGGCGCACCGAGAAUUCGGAGAUUGAUUUAGUGUUUACUAAAAGUCCGGCGAUCAAAAGAAAACUUGGAAAGAUGACUCAACUUUAUCAAUGAUGUAGUUCAUUUGUCCUCGUCCCACUGCCGGCUCCAUUUCCACUUCCACUGGGACCAUCUCGUACCUACAGGACGAAAUACGAUGUACAAAGAAGAGUCGAGAUGAAAUCUUAAGGUUUCAUGUGUGCUGUGGUUACGUGAAAUUUAAACUGGCCGAAAGGAAGUCGAGGACAACGCCUCCUUUAGCUGACCCUGUCAAUCGUUUGGGGUUACCACUCCAACGUGGCUUGAGAGGGGGAAUUAAUUACCAGAUCACGCGGAGAUGUCGACCCCUUAGCAGAUUCGAUGUCGACGUGGAGCGAAUGAAACAGCCGAACGAAACGAAGGAAAUGAAUACAGCAGAUGGCUAUUCCACUUUUCAGAUUUCAGAUUCGGAGUGACACGAAAACAAAUAAUCUGCUGCUAGUCUGCUACGAAUGUGGGACGAUAGUCAUCGCUUCGAGAAAAUUUAUACCUUACACUUACAGCAUGGGCAUAGAUGACAGUCAAGAAGAUUUAUUUGUUGGGCCUUGGGGGGGGGGGUGGAAGUGGGGACUCCCAACAGGAAAUGAUAGCCAACCCACCCCUUUUGGAUAGGUGCCAUCGCUAUGGGAGAAUAGCGUGUCGAGUUAUCAGUUCCCAUCCAUCGCAGAGCAGAGUGACGUGGGCGAUGGAUCAAUCCAGUCUCAGCAGUUGUUUUGUGAAAUGGCACCUUGUUCACACCAAUUUCAUCAUCAUUGAGAUUGCAGAAAGGGGAAUGCCGAUUUAAAAUUACCAGUUAUUCAACUCUAAUGGAUCUCUAGUCAAGUCGUUAUCAUCGCGUCAUCUGGUCAAGGUCGUCUAGUAUAUGAAACGAAACAAACCAACGAGAAAUCGUGCCAAAAAUUUAAGUUUUGACCGGUGGUGCUGUGCGCUUGAUUUGGACACGUCUUUGGUGUAACACAAUGGUGCCGGAGGUGCCCACUACAACGCCAGACAACGCGAACGAUUUCCUGUAUGAUGUAAACUCUCAUUCCAAUUUUUCCUAAAGUAACCCAGCAGCCGAAAGUGCGCACUAGGAGCUCCUCCUCGUCGUUGUCUUAUCUCUGUUGUGAAUAACGGUCCCAGUGCCGCAUUUGGAGGUUAACCAACUCUCGCUGACAUUUUUCUUUUUGCUUAACUGGAUCUCGAGGGCGAACCGGUUUUCUGGCUGACAUAUGCGACGAACGUGUGCGCAUACAUACUAAAGUUAAUGUCAGCAUUUACAAAGACUUGCCAAACCAUCCAGUGAUCCUCCAGCUUUUGUGACGUCCAGUUAAAUAAGCACCAGUUUGUUGUGCGAUCGAUUUGUUUUGUUGUCGUCAUGAUUUUGAGGUGGCGAAUCAAGUGCUUCUACGGGUUCGCUUUGCUGGUGACAGCCUCGUUAAGUGGCUGCAGUUGUACUGACAAACAUUAUGGGGGUGCUAACAAAUCACCAGCAGCCCGUACCGCGAUCAAAAGUUGGCGGAGGAAAGCCCAAGAGCAAUUGCUAAAUCGUUUGCAACCGUAUCCAGAAAAUCUUUUAACGCCACCGCAAAUCAUUGAGAAACGAGGCUAUCCAGUCGAGAUUCAUGAAGUCACAACAGAUGAUGGGUACAUUUUGGAUCUUCACCGCAUUCCGGCCAAAUCGUCGAGCGGUCCCAAGCAAGUGGUUUUCCUCCAGCACGGAGUUGCGGAAAGCUCCGCCACUUGGCUCGUCAAUCCUUCCAGUCGAUCCCUACCAUUAUUGCUGGCUGAUCAAUCGUACGACGUGUGGCUCGGGAAUGUGCGGGGCAACAGGUAUUCCAGGAGACAUGUCACCCUCAAUCCUAAAAAAGCGGAUUUUUGGAAAUUCAGCUGGGACGAAAUUGGGAAUUAUGACCUGCCGGCCAUCAUCAAUUAUAUCCUGAAAGAAACUGGCCAGCCGAAAAUGUCUUACAUCGGACACUCGCUGGGAUGUGCUACGUUCUUUAUCGCUAUGCUCAAACAUCCGGAGCUCAACGAUAAAAUUGACACCAUGGUUGCGCUGGCACCGGUGUCGUCCUUUGCCCAUUUCACCUCUCCAAUAUUUCGCCUUCUGGCUCCGCUCGGUAAAACCUUGGAGAAAUUCUUCAGGCUGAUUGGAACUUGGGGAUGGCUGGACGGCGAAGGUUUCGGAGAGAUUUUCUUCCGCGCCGUUUGCGGAUACACUUACAAACAAGCCAAAUUUUGCAGGGACUUGAUCAUUUUCGUCACUGGGCCAAACCCAAAUAAUCUUGACCCGGCUAUUGCUUUGCUUGCCAUUUCGAACGUUUUUCGAGGGACAUCAGUGCCAGUGAUUGCGCAAUUUGCCCAAAAUUUCCAAGCAGGGGAUGUGUUCCAAGCUUACGACUACGGAAAAAUAGGUAACGAGAAACGAUAUGGAUCGAAAAAGCCGAUGGAAUAUAAUUUGAAAAAAGUCACAGCUCCGGUGUACGUGUUUUCGGCGGGUAAAGACCGAAUCGUCUCCCCACUGGAUGUCGACUGGCUUGAGACUCAACUUGGAAAUCUCAAAGGAUCUAUUCGUAUUCCAUAUUACGAUCACAUUGAUUUCAUCUGGGGGACAGAUGUCAAAGAAAUCGUGUAUGAUCAAGUCAUGGCCCUUUUACCGCCACCAUAAGCUCAAGCGUACCUCUUCGUCUUCUAUGCAAAUGAAAUUCAUAUAUAAACAUGUCAGAAUUAUUUAAGGAUGGAAGAAAAGGCCAUGAAGGGCUAGGACCCGACUCUUGGACGUUUUUCAAAAAGGUGUUGGUUGCUGAUGGUGAAAAACAAAUAGGUGCUGAAACAUUUUAAAAAUAGAAAAAACCAAAUAGGUAAGAGCCAAGCUCGAUGAUGGGUCAAUCGGCAACUCGUCACCGGACACAUAAACAAGUAUCCAAAGGAACUCGUUCGUAAGUAUAAAAGAACGGCCUAUUAUGCAAAUUAGUUCAGCCAAAAAGAAAUAUGACCGUCCAACAGGAAGGCGAGAAAGGCUGGUUGUAUAGGUUACCCACACACAAAAAAAAAACUUGAUCAUAGAGGGAAAAUGACGGUCUAAUUCUCAAAAUGGUCCGUAAAACGACAGCCAAGUUUAACGCAGAAAUUUUUGACCCAGCAUUCCGGUUCUGAAAAUAAAAGGGAAUUGAACAGAAAGAAAAAUAGUUAACUGGAUCACGAAAUAAAAGAUAUUUCUAGAUGGUAGCGCAGCGCUAGAUAAAGAAAUGUUUGCGGUCUUCAAAUGCCAGUGUGUGCGCAUCCGAUAACUAAAACCGGUCUUCCUCCGGCUAAGAAUAAAAUGUCUAUAGGACUUUAUUGUGUGGGUGUGGCCUCACAGCAGUAACGAUUUUAUUAAUUCUGUCUGUUAUUUUGGGUGAAACAUUCACAGGUGAGAACUUACAGCGCUAAAAGUCAUCAAUCUCAGCGUGAAAAUCUCUCGUGGAUAACUCAUCGUCUUUGUAAGUACUCCCUACUCGAUCCUUCACAUAGAAUCACAAACAUUUUUAAUUAACCGAUUCAAUUGCCAUAAAUAUGGUCAUUUUCUUUGAAUGAAUGAUAAGAAUUUCAGGUUUUCAAGGUCGUGAAUAGUUUGGCAUAAGCGUGACCCGAUCUAAUAUACUAACUCUGCUGCCGAAUAAAAUCAUUUGGUUCAAGAUACAGCGGCGCCCUGUUCAGAAGCGAAUAAAACUUCCAACAGAAAGCGGAAUGAUGAAGGAUAUAUAACGGUUCCCAGCACCGCCGCACAUGGAGAUUUUCCUAGUCGCCCAGCCGCUGAUGGCGUAUGUACGCAACAUUUUUUUGUAGAACUCUCACGUCGUGUCAAAACAGGUUUCUCGUCUAUAAAACGCUUAUACAAACAUGCGAGGGGCUAUAACAUCGAUCCAACUAGUCGCAAAAUUGCCAGUAGGUUUCUGGCUCUGGCUGUGAUAGUAUUUGACCUUUUUCUCAUGUUGGAUUGAUUUCGGUUGAUUUCAAUCGCAGUUUGGGUCGUAUAUGGUGAGGAUUGUGCGGAUUGGGUCAUUGUUACGUCAGUUGUUGGACAAGUUUC